Molecule: ribosomal RNA, 443 nt
Filed under: uncultured bacterium
Lineage: Bacteria
Description: partial 16S ribosomal RNA
Rfam family: Bacterial small subunit ribosomal RNA
Source: RNAcentral
CCUACGGGUGGCAGCAGUGGGGAAUAUUGGACAAUGGGGGGAACCCUGAUCCAGCGACGCCGCGUGAGUGAAGAAGUAUUUCGGUAUGUAAAGCUCUGUCAGCAGGGAAGAAAGAAAUGACAGUACCUGACCAAUAAGCCCCGGCUAACUACGUGCAAGCAGCCGCGGUAAGACGGAGGGGGCAAGCGUUAGCCGGAAUUACUGGGUGUAAAGGUAGCGUAGACGGUUAAGUAGGUCUGGAGGGAAAGGCCGGGGCCCAACCCCGGGACUGCCCUGGAAACUAUUGAACUGGAGUGCAGGAGAGGUAAGCGGAAUGCCUAGUGUAGCGGUGAAAUGCGUAGAUAUCAGGCGGAACACCAGUUGCGAAGGCGGCUUACUGGACUGUAACUGACGUUGAGGCUCGAAAGCGUGGGGAGCAAACAGGAUUAGAUACCCGAGUAGUC